UUUCGUAUUUUGGGAAAUCCGUGUGUUUUUCAAAAACUAAAAAUUAGUUGAGAACUGUAGCUACUAAAUUGAUCGCUAACCUCUGGAGGGAUUGGAAUAUAUAGAGUACCCUCACCUUACCAUGAGUCGAGGAUGCGCAAGGAUAACCAAACCCCCAAACAUUCCUCCUCGGGGUACUUGUCUCUUUGUGAAUUUCCUAACUGGAUAGGGAGUUACCGAUAAUAAGUGUAUAAGUUCUUCGGACUAAUGUGAGUAUUCGAAUAUUGGCACUUCCACCAUCCAUAUUUUGCUAACCUCUUCGGUAUCGUGCAUUGCCCUUUCUCACAUUGAGAGUUGGUGCAAACUCCGCCGGUGCAUCCAAACCCAUGACAUGAUAAACUCUAUCAUACAUAAGCCUCAUUAUAUCUUUCCUCAAAACAUCCACCAUACCUAUCUACUACGACAUUUCCAUAGCAUUUUCGAGAUACAUUGCCAUUCAACAUCCAUCAUCUCAUGACUUGAUCUUCAUGUCAUACAUGCUUUUGCUUGAUCAUAGAGCCGCAUGAUAGUUGGGCCUUGCCCUCAUUA
Molecule: long non-coding RNA, 567 nt
Filed under: Hordeum vulgare
Lineage: Eukaryota; Viridiplantae; Streptophyta; Magnoliopsida; Poales; Poaceae
Description: long non-coding RNA (HVUL_LNC018002)
Source: RNAcentral